AGUGCACAAAUUUUUGCUUGGGUGGAGUCCCUUGGGCUGGCCUGCAGAUAUUGGGCCCCAGCUCACGCCCCCAGCCUUGCGGCCCC
Myotis brandtii (Brandt's bat) is the source of this 86-nucleotide long non-coding RNA. RefSeq lists it as uncharacterized. Lineage: Eukaryota; Metazoa; Chordata; Mammalia; Chiroptera; Vespertilionidae. The transcript has 3 exons. The record is from RefSeq and is a predicted model, not a curated record.